This 443-nucleotide ribosomal RNA is filed under the name uncultured bacterium. Its description in RNAcentral is "partial 16S ribosomal RNA". It matches the Rfam family "Bacterial small subunit ribosomal RNA", at positions 338 to 795 of the family's 1533-position model. The record is from RNAcentral.
CCUACGGGAGGCAGCAGUGGGGAAUAUUGGGCAAUGGGCGCAAGCCUGACCCAGCAACGCCGCGUGAAGGAAGAAGGCUUUCGGGUUGUAAACUUCUUUUCUCAGGGACGAAGAAAGUGACGGUACCUGAGGACUAAGCCACGGCUAACUACGUGCCAGCAGCCGCGGUAAUACGUAGGUGGCAAGCGUUAUCCGGAUUUACUGGGUGUAAAGGGCGUGUAGGCGGGGAAGCAAGUCAGAUGUGAAAACCACGGGCUCAACCGGGGGCCUGCAUUUGAAACUGUUUUUCUUGAGUACUGGAGAGGCAGACGGAAUUCCUAGUGUAGCGGUGAAAUGCGUAGAUAUUAGGAGGAACACCAGUGGCGAAGGCGGUCUGCUGGACAGCAACUGACGCUGAGGCGCGAAAGCGUGGGGAGCAAACAGGAUUAGAUACCCUUGUAGUC